Bubalus bubalis (water buffalo) is the source of this 459-nucleotide long non-coding RNA. RefSeq lists it as uncharacterized. The record is from RefSeq and is a predicted model, not a curated record. Lineage: Eukaryota; Metazoa; Chordata; Mammalia; Artiodactyla; Bovidae. The transcript is spliced from 2 exons.
UCAAGAGUCUCCCUUCACCCCUUCCCAUAUCUGAUUGGGUCCUCAUCCCUCUACCUUCCUCAAGGGGUGUCGGAUUGCCCUGGUCUGUCUUCAGCAUGAAUCCUGGAGGUCCUGGUAAGGAACGCAGAACUAACAAGCUACCACCAACAGGAAGUGUUCGGGAAAGGUCAAAAGGAGAGAGGAAACUCCAGUCCUUAUGUCCUGCUGACUUCCCAGAAUCCUCCUCACUGGAGUCCAUCUUGACACACGGGCAACCAGGGCUGUGGGCUGCGUGACGCACGGGCAACCAGGAAGGACAGCGAGUCAGAGUGGUUGGCCACAGACAACUGGAAACUAACCCUAUCGUCAUAAAACCUGAAACCUCGAGCUAUGGGGCAGAGCAGUCUUCCGGGGUUCUGUUCCUCUCCUGUUCUGCGCCUGGGCACCCCUUUCCCGAUAAAGUCUCUUGCUUUGUCCGCA